UUUCAAUAUCUCUUCCAUUUUUUAAUUAUUUCAAAUAAAAAUAUAUAAAAAUCUGUUUUAACAUUUUUAAUAUCACCUUUUAUCUAUCCUCGAGAUUGUAGUAUUUUCAGAUUUUUCUUCUUCUCGUUAGAUACAUUAAUUUUAAUCUUUCCGGCCUUUUAAAACUUAGCGAAGCAAAAUAUUUUAUUCAAAUUAAUAUUAUAUAUUGUACAUAUAAUAAUUGAAUUAUUAUAAUUAUUGCAUAGAUAUUUUUUUCGGAUACUACUCUUGGAAGAUUUAAGUUUUCAGGUACCACGGAUCGAGUGAGGGGUGAAAAUGGAUAAGAACAACGAGUUAAAAGUCAAAUUAAAAUAUAAAAGUAAUGAGAGAAUAAUUUUAUCUGCCUGCAUGGAAACAUGAAAUACAAUAUAAUUAAAUAAACAAUUAGACGGAAUAAUUAUAAUGCUAUGAGAUGCUCGAAUUGAAUACUUUUUUAAUAAAAUAAAAACGAAAUAAAAUAGCUGAUGCUUAUGAAAUUAAUUUACGAACAUUUAACAUGGAAUAUCGAUCAAAGAAAUGAUGGAAAAUUGAUAUAAACAAUUGUAAAAUUUAUUGAAAUAAUUAUAAUUCUCAUCCAGAAAGCAUGAUGGAAAAAAAAGAAAUAUAAAUUAAUUGCGGGUUUCAUCAGAGCUGUUCACCAUAAAUAGAGGGAAAUCCCUUCUGGAAGGAGUAUGCUAAUCACGAGUAGUAUACUACUGAACCUGACGAUUGAAUUAUGUGAAAUGAUGAACGAGAUGAUACGAAUAAUAAUA
RNAcentral lists this long non-coding RNA (791 nucleotides) under Polistes fuscatus (common paper wasp). RNAcentral describes it as "uncharacterized LOC122515192". The record is from RNAcentral. Lineage: Eukaryota; Metazoa; Arthropoda; Insecta; Hymenoptera; Vespidae.